UACGGAGGGGGCUAGCGUUGUUCGGAAUUACUGGGCGUAAAGCGCGCGUAGGCGGAUCUGCAAGUCGGGGGUGAAAUCCCGAGGCUCAACCUCGGAACUGCCUUCGAUACUGCGGGUCUCGAGUCCGGGAGAGGUGAGUGGAAUUCCUAGUGUAGAGGUGAAAUUCGUAGAUAUCUGGAGGAACAUCGGUGGCGAAGGCGACAUCCUGGACCGGUAUUGACGCUGAGGCGCGAAAGCCAGGGGAGCAAACGGG
This 253-nucleotide ribosomal RNA is filed under the name uncultured bacterium. Its description in RNAcentral is "partial 16S ribosomal RNA". It matches the Rfam family "Bacterial small subunit ribosomal RNA", at positions 524 to 776 of the family's 1533-position model. The record is from RNAcentral.